This is a long non-coding RNA of Acanthochromis polyacanthus (spiny chromis), 500 nucleotides long. RefSeq lists it as uncharacterized. Lineage: Eukaryota; Metazoa; Chordata; Actinopteri; Pomacentridae. The transcript has 3 exons. The record is from RefSeq and is a predicted model, not a curated record.
UUCUCCAGGUGUCAGUAGGUCUACUCUAGAACUUUCUCCAGCUGUCAGUAGGUCUAUUCUAGAACUUUCUCCAGGUGUCAGUAGGUCUACUCUAGAACUUUCUCCAGCUGUCAGUAGGUCUAUUCUAGAACUUUCUCCAGCUGUCAGUAGGUCUACUCUAGAACUUUCUCCAGCUGUCGGUAGGUCUACUCUAGAACUUUCUCCAGCUGUCGGUAGGUCUGCUCUAGAACUUUCUCCAGCUGUCGGUAGGUCUACUCUAGAACUUUCUCCAGCUGUCGGUAGGUCUGCUCUAGAACUUUCUCCAGCUGUCGGUAGGUCUACUCUAGAACUUUCUCCGGCUGUCAGUAGGUCUACUCUAGAACUUUCUCCAGUUGUCGGUAGGUCUACUCUAGAACUUUCUCCGGCUGUCGGUAGGUCUACUCUAGAACUUUCUCCAGUUGUCGGUAGGUCUACUCUAGAACUUUCUCCAGCUGUCAGUAGGUCUACUCUAGAACUUUCUC